AACAACUCCAACACAAGUUAAUAAAAUAAAAUAAAAAAAAAAAAAAAAAAAUUAAAUAAAAUAAAAUACCACAACCACAACAAAAAAAAACAAAUCUAAUGAAAACUUACGGUAACCGGAAGGAGGGGAUGAGAUGGAGAGGAUUGGUCGGCGUGAACGUCGUCAGAAGUGCGUCGUCGAGCAGCGGUGGUGGUGUGAACAUCACAUGAAUCGAUACGUCGUGGUAUUUCGGUGCGGCAACGAGUUUGUGUUGUUGUUUGGAGGAGGGAAACAAGGUUUUGUAGUUUUGUUCUUGUAAGAUAGACAAG
This 308-nucleotide long non-coding RNA is filed under the name Lathyrus oleraceus (garden pea). Its description in RNAcentral is "Pisum sativum (pea) long non-coding RNA (PSAT_LNC027888)". Lineage: Eukaryota; Viridiplantae; Streptophyta; Magnoliopsida; Fabales; Fabaceae. The record is from RNAcentral.